Long non-coding RNA from Cryptotermes secundus, 462 nucleotides. RefSeq lists it as uncharacterized. The record is from RefSeq and is a predicted model, not a curated record. The transcript has 2 exons. NCBI's taxonomy places the organism in Eukaryota, Metazoa, Arthropoda, Insecta, Blattodea, Kalotermitidae.
GAAAAACCAAAGUGAGUGGAGAAAGUUCAUGGAGAUGCAAUGUCGGCAUCAGCCUCCUACAUGGAAAAGCAUUUGAUUCUGGGACAAGAAACUGAGGACUACAGGUAGUCUGUUGGGUGUAAAAUCUCAUGGAAAGACACAGGCCUCUGAAGAAAAUGUCAGUCGCAUUAGAGAGGCAUUCCAGCUAAAUCUGUGCAAAUCAAUUUGUGCUGCUAGCUUGCAGUUACAAAUUCCAUGUUCAACAGUGCACAUUGUGCUACAAAAAAGGCUCCACCAAAGAGCAUACAAGAUUCAAAUGAUUCAUGCACUAAAACUGACCAAGUACCAUGCAUGUAAUUUGCUGUGGACAUGCUAUAAAGAAAUGACAUGUCACCUGAUUUCCUCCGCCAAGUGUGCUUCUCAGACAAGGUAAUAUUCCAUGUCACUGGUGUUCUAAACAGGUACAACUGCAGGAUUUGGUGG